CAGUCGCCGCGGUAAUACAGAGGGUGCGAGCGUUAAUCGGAUUUACUGGGCGUAAAGCGUGCGUAGGCGGCUAAUUGAGUCGGAUGUGAAAUCCCCGAGCUUAACUUGGGAAUUGCAUUCGAUACUGGUUAGCUAGAGUGUGGGAGAGGAUGGUAGAAUUCCAGGUGUAGCGGUGAAAUGCGUAGAGAUCUGGAGGAAUACCGAUGGCGAAGGCAGCCAUCUGGCCUAACACUGACGCUGAGGUACGAAAGCGUGGGGAGCAAACAGGAUUAGAUACCCCAGUAGUCCCUGUCUCUUAUAC
RNAcentral lists this ribosomal RNA (301 nucleotides) under uncultured bacterium. RNAcentral describes it as "partial 16S ribosomal RNA". It matches the Rfam family "Bacterial small subunit ribosomal RNA", at positions 509 to 807 of the family's 1533-position model. The record is from RNAcentral.